RNAcentral lists this ribosomal RNA (699 nucleotides) under uncultured Planctomycetota bacterium. RNAcentral describes it as "bacterial SSU rRNA". It matches the Rfam family "Bacterial small subunit ribosomal RNA", at positions 96 to 806 of the family's 1533-position model. The record is from RNAcentral. Lineage: Bacteria; Pseudomonadati; Planctomycetota.
CGGCAACGGGGUAGUUAGGCGCAGGUACGUACCCUCUGGUUGGGGAUAGCCACGGGAAACUGUGGGCAAUACCCAAUGAUCCGGUAACGGCAAAGGUGAGAUUCCGCCGGAGGAGCGGUCUGCGUGGUAUUAGCUUGUUGGUGAGGUAAUGGCUCACCAAGGCGAAGAUGCCUAGGGGGUGUGAGAGCAUGGCCCCCCCCACUGGGACUGAGACACUGCCCAGACACCUACGGGUGGCUGCAGUCGAGAAUCUUUGGCAAUGCACGCAAGUGUGACCAAGCGACGCCGAGUGCUGGAUGAAGGCCUUCGGGUUGUAAACAGCUGUCAGAGGGGAUGAAAUUGUUGGGGGCUAUCCCUCUUCAUUGACAAAGCCUCAGAGGAAGCGCGGGCUAAGUUCGUGCCAGCAGCCGCGGUAAUACGAACUGCGCGAACGUUAUUCGGAAUCACUGGGCUUAAAGGGUGCGUAGGCGGCCUGUUAAGUAGGGUGUGAAAUUUGUCGGCUCAACCGGCAAACUGCAUUCUAAACUGGCAGGCUUGAGUGAGUCAGGGGUGUGCGGAACUUCCGGUGGAGCGGUGAAAUGCGUUGAUAUCGGAAGGAACGCCGGUGGCGAAAGCGGCACACUGGGGCUUUUCUGACGCUGAGGCACGAAAGCUAGGGGAGCGAACAGGAUUAGAUACCCUGGUAGUCCUAGCUGUAAA